AUUGAACGCUGGCGGCAGGCCUAACACAUGCAAGUCGAGCGGAUGAAGGGAGCUUGCUCCUGGAUUCAGCGGCGGACGGGUGAGUAAUGCCUAGGAAUCUGCCUGGUAGUGGGGGAUAACUUCCGGAAACGGGCGCUAAUACCGCAUACGUCCUGAGGGAGAAAGUGGGGGAUCUUCGGACCUCCCGCUAUCAGAUGAGCCUAGGUCGGAUUAGCUAGUUGGUGGGGUAAAGGCCUACCAAGGCGACGAUCCGUAACUGGUCUGAGAGGAUGAUCAGUCACACUGGAACUGAGACACGGUCCAGACUCCUACGGGAGGCAGCAGUGGGGAAUAUUGGACAAUGGGCGAAAGCCUGAUCCAGCCAUGCCGCGUGUGUGAAGAAGGUCUUCGGAUUGUAAAGCACUUUAAGUUGGGAGGAAGGGCAGUAAGUUAAUACCUUGCUGUUUUGACGUUACCAACAGAAUAAGCACCGGCUAACUUCGUG
This 484-nucleotide ribosomal RNA is filed under the name uncultured bacterium. RNAcentral's name for it is "partial 16S ribosomal RNA". It matches the Rfam family "Bacterial small subunit ribosomal RNA", at positions 30 to 507 of the family's 1533-position model. The record is from RNAcentral.